This 274-nucleotide ribosomal RNA is filed under the name uncultured bacterium. RNAcentral's name for it is "partial 16S ribosomal RNA". It matches the Rfam family "Bacterial small subunit ribosomal RNA", at positions 523 to 796 of the family's 1533-position model. The record is from RNAcentral.
AGACGGAGGGUGCAAGCGUUGCUCGGAAUUACUGAGCGUAAAGGGUGCGUAGGCGGCCUUUCAAGUCCGGCGUGAAAGCCCAGGGCUCAGCCUUGGAAGUGCGCCAGAAACUGGAAAGCUAGAGUAUCGGAUGGGAGAGUGGAAUUCCUGGUGUAGCGGUGAAAUGCGUAGAUAUCAGGAGGAAUACCGGUGGCGAAGGCGACUCUCUGGACGAUAACUGACGCUGAGGCACGAAAGCGUGGGGAGCAAACAGGAUUAGAAACCCCGGUAGUCC